UACGUAGGGACCGAGCGUUGUCCGGAAUCAUUGGGCGUAAAGAGCGUGUAGGCGGUCCGGUAAGUCCGCUGUGAAAGUCGGGGGCUCAACCCUCGAAUGCCGGUGGAUACUGUCGGGCUAGAGUGCGGAAGAGGCGAGUGGAAUUCCUGGUGUAGCGGUGAAAUGCGCAGAUAUCAGGAGGAACACCUAUUGCGAAGGCAGCUCGCUGGGACGUAACUGACGCUGAGACGCGAAAGCGUGGGGAGCAAACAGG
Molecule: ribosomal RNA, 253 nt
Filed under: uncultured bacterium
Lineage: Bacteria
Description: partial 16S ribosomal RNA
Rfam family: Bacterial small subunit ribosomal RNA
Source: RNAcentral